This 492-nucleotide ribosomal RNA is filed under the name uncultured bacterium. Its description in RNAcentral is "partial 16S ribosomal RNA". It matches the Rfam family "Bacterial small subunit ribosomal RNA", at positions 29 to 507 of the family's 1533-position model. The record is from RNAcentral.
AGUGAACGCUGGCGGUAGGCCUAACACAUGCAAGUCGAACGGCAGCACAGUAAGAGCUUGCUCUUACGGGUGGCGAGUGGCGGACGGGUGAGGAAUACAUCGGAAUCUACCUUUUCGUGGGGGAUAACGUAGGGAAACUUACGCUAAUACCGCAUACGACCUACGGGUGAAAGCAGGGGAUCUUCGGACCUUGCGCGAUUGAAUGAGCCGAUGUCGGAUUAGCUAGUUGGCGGGGUAAAGGCCCACCAAGGCGACGAUCCGUAGCUGGUCUGAGAGGAUGAUCAGCCACACUGGAACUGAGACACGGUCCAGACUCCGACGGGAGGCAGCAGUGGGGAAUAUUGGACAAUGGGCGCAAGCCUGAUCCAGCCAUACCGCGUGGGUGAAGAAGGCCUUCGGGUUGUAAAGCCCUUUUGUUGGGAAAGAAAAGCAGCAGGUUAAUACCCCGCUGUUCUGACGGUACCCAAAGAAUAAGCACCGGCUAACUUCGUG